GUAUUGUAUAAAAAAUAGAGUUCGGAGCUGUGUGAGUGGCAUAAUAUCAUGGGCCUUAUUGGGAUGUCUGGUGUCUCAAUGUAGCGUUUUAGUUGAUAUUUUUAUACUACCAUGGUUAUAGGGCAUAUUUGUGGAUUCGAAUUAGAACUCCCUUGUCAGGGGCUGUUGGGGGGUGAUUUUUUUCUUUUUCCGAUGUGACGGGUGGUCCUGGACUAUAAGGUGACGAAAAUGCUUUUAAUGGGUUGUGGUUCGGAGGUGCCGAAUAACUAUAGGUUUUCAUUGCGGUUUAGGUUAGAAGUUAGGAAUCUUAAAAAGUACAUUUGUUUUCAAAUCUUGGAGCUGAAUGUCAGAUUGGGUUAAUAUGGAGCGUGUUUGUAAACCCGGUUUGUUAGUCGAAUGGCUAGCGAGUCUUCACGGUAUUCGAUCGCUAGAUGCGUGUGAAGCGGCACUUGGAUGCAGGGGUCAUACUUUGGAUUAGACAUUCUGUAAGGAGUCCUUCCGGGGUGUGGGCAGGAGUGCAGUUUUAAUUUAUGGCGGAUCUACAAGNUUUGUUGGAUACUCGUUGAAGGCAAGGGCUGAGUAUGUCCUGAACGUGGAAGGGGUCUCUGAAGCAUCUAUGAGAACCUUAGGCAUUUUCCUUUUAAAUAAAGACAGCCGCUUGAAGGUGUAUGUUAGUCGCUACGUAGCUUUUUUCGUUUACUGACUUGGGUAGCGCGUUAGUUUCGCCCACGAAUGGGAAACCAUCUUUAUGUGUGGGUGUCAGUAAGGGCGGGAUCUCUAAGGAGUCCUUCCGUGAGAUAACUCAGAACAAAGGGGGAGAAGGUGACAUCUUCUCGGGCCCUAUCUGCCGGGGGUUACACACGCGUUACAAUGGAUGGUACAAAGGGCAGCAAAGUCGAGAGGCGAAGCAAAUCCCAUAAAACCAUUCUCAGUUGGGAUUGCAGGGUGCAACUUGCUUCAGUAGCCGAAUC
RNAcentral lists this ribosomal RNA (971 nucleotides) under Terribacillus sp. T-25. RNAcentral describes it as "partial 16S ribosomal RNA". The stretch from base 870 to 965 matches the Rfam family "Bacterial small subunit ribosomal RNA", at positions 1229 to 1325 of the family's 1533-position model. The record is from RNAcentral. Lineage: Bacteria; Bacillati; Bacillota; Bacilli; Caryophanales; Bacillaceae.